RNAcentral lists this small RNA (158 nucleotides) under Dasypus novemcinctus (nine-banded armadillo). RNAcentral describes it as "sRNA (ENSDNOG00000031621.1)". The record is from RNAcentral. Lineage: Eukaryota; Metazoa; Chordata; Mammalia; Cingulata; Dasypodidae.
GUCUCCGGAGCCUAGCUAAUACACCCAGAUCCAUACCCGGAGAUAAAAGUCUAGACAAUAGAUGGCUGUUUAUGACAACGAGGCUCUCCAAGUUUGGGGCUGGGCGAUAAAUCUCUGGCGAAUCUUCCUUCCUGUAACUCAACUUCUGGCUGUAGUGA